This is a long non-coding RNA of Crotalus tigris (Tiger rattlesnake), 347 nucleotides long. RefSeq lists it as uncharacterized. The record is from RefSeq and is a predicted model, not a curated record. The transcript has 3 exons. NCBI's taxonomy places the organism in Eukaryota, Metazoa, Chordata, Lepidosauria, Squamata, Viperidae.
UAGAAAAGCUGGCUGAAAGUAUCUUUUGGUGCGGUGCGGUGCGUGGGGAGUCUUUUUGUUAGAGCAGGCCCAGAAAAAUAGAUGUGUGAUUAUCUCUUUCCAGGAUGGAAUGUGGAAAGAGUGAACGAUGGACACCAAAUCCCUAUACAAGAAUGGAAGCAACUUGGUCCCAUGUGAUCCAGCAAGUGGUGGAAAGCUGAUCUGAUAAAACAGAUUUGAGGUGCAAUUCGAAAGAAAAGCCAUAACUGUAGAUGGUGAGAAGGCUGCACAUGGGGAUGCAUGUCCAAAAUAUCUCCUUGUAACACCGGAAUGCAAGAGGAUGGGGGCCUGUUUCCACGGAAUACCCC